UACAGAGGUCUCAAGCGUUGUUCGGAUUCAUUGGGCGUAAAGGGUGCGUAGGCGGCGUGGUAAGUCGGAUGUGAAAUCUCGGAGCUUAACUCCGAAACUGCAUUCGAUACUGCCGUGCUUGAGGACUGGAGAGGAGACUGGAAUUUACGGUGUAGCGGUGAAAUGCGUAGAUAUCGGGAGGAACACCGGUGGCGAAGGCGGCCCCCUGGUUGGAUACUGACGCUGAGACGCGAAAGCGUGGGGAGCAAACAGG
RNAcentral lists this ribosomal RNA (253 nucleotides) under uncultured bacterium. RNAcentral describes it as "partial 16S ribosomal RNA". It matches the Rfam family "Bacterial small subunit ribosomal RNA", at positions 524 to 776 of the family's 1533-position model. The record is from RNAcentral.